GAUGAACGCUGGCGGCGUGCCUAAUACAUGCAAGUCGAGCGAACAGACGAGGAGCUUGCUCCUCUGACGUUAGCGGCGGAAGGGUGAGUAACACGUGGAUAACCUACCUAUAAGACUGGGAUAACUUCGGGAAACCGGAGCUAAAACCGGAUAAUAUAUUCAACCGCAUGAUCCAAUAGUGAAAGACGGUUUUGCUGUCACUUAUAGAUGGAUCCGCGCCGCAUUAGCUAGUUGGUAAGGUAACGGCUUACCAAGGCAACGAUGCGUAGCCGACCUGAGAGGGGGAUCGGCCACACUGGAACUGGGACACGGUCCAGACUCCUACGGGAGUCUGCAGUAGGGAACUGGGCGCAAUGGGCGAAGACCUGACGGAGCAACUCCGCGUGAGGGAGGAGGGUCCUCGGAUCGUAACACUCUCUUAGUAGGGCAGAACCAAUGUGUAAGUAACUAUGCACAUCUUGACGGUACCUAAGCAGAAAGCCACGGCUAACUACGUC
Molecule: ribosomal RNA, 497 nt
Filed under: uncultured bacterium
Lineage: Bacteria
Description: partial 16S ribosomal RNA
Rfam family: Bacterial small subunit ribosomal RNA
Source: RNAcentral